GAAGCACCGGUUUUCGGAAUGAUCCCCAUUGAGCUACCGAAUUGGGAAAUAUUAAUCCGGCCAAUUAAAUUUUUGCCAUGUUUGUGCGCGGACUAUCGAAGCUUGUCCGAAUAAUGGUUACCGGAAUCCAUGUAAAAAUAUCGCAAUGAAAGGAUUCAAGCUCUUAUAAUGGAACGAACGGACAAGCGUGCGGACUCGAGUUCCACCAAGGGUACGGACCUGCUUCUGGCCAAGGUCGAUGGUAACAGCGGUUUGGCGGAUCGGUCUCGGAAGCCUUGAGUAAACUCAAACGGAGUAAACGGCAAUUUUAGGAAUUCUAAAGGGCAAGCGUUGGAUGGAUACGGGUAAAUGCUAAAAAAAAAUUGAAAACGUACAGCAAUUUACCUAAGCGGGAAUAGUAAAUCGGAUUCGGUAAUGGUAUAUACGGGAAAGCAAAUGCAGGAAAGUAACAAAAAGCUUACCUUGCAAUUAAACGGGGCAAUAAAAGUUACUGUGCUAGAAAAAGCAAUAUAGACACGGUACAGUAAUGAAAAAGCAACAAUUAAACGGUAUAAAUGCAAAAUAAAUAUACAGAAAGCUCAAAAUUGCGGCACUUAUGAAACGUAGCUUGCGAAAGUCAAACAGGCAGAAAAGAUCCUCCUUAAACAACUGAUUUGCCUUUUAUAAAAUUCGGAUAAAAUCAUCCAAAAAUUAUUCCUUUUUGUAAUGAAUUGUUCGGCCUCCUGACGUCCUAAAAGUCUGUAAUUGAUCUCAAAAUUUAAAGGAGAGUAAACCUGCAUGACUUUUUUGUUUUUGUGCUCGUUUUAAAUUAAGAUAGGAAACCAAAAUCAUAUAAAUAAUUACUUUAAGAAGCUGAAAUUCGCCGUCGUCUUCUAAGUGGCAAGAGCUUUCGGAUGCAACAAAGACGAUUGAAAUAUCUUGACGGGAACGGGUGCAAACGGCGGAUUAUAUACAGAUUUUGAUUCCUGUAGCGGAGGCUGUACCACAACUAUAGAAAUUAAAUCAAACACCUUUACCUUCUAUCUUCAAUGCCUAGUACCAACACAAAUUGAUCACCAUAACUGGUGACUUUCCGAAACAAGAGUAGAAUUUCGAGAAAUCCGACUCGAGCAUGACUUGUUAAAGGUGAUGAAGGGAACUCUAUCGACACAAGUACU
This is a long non-coding RNA of Photinus pyralis (common eastern firefly), 1157 nucleotides long. RefSeq lists it as uncharacterized. The transcript is spliced from 3 exons. The record is from RefSeq and is a predicted model, not a curated record. Lineage: Eukaryota; Metazoa; Arthropoda; Insecta; Coleoptera; Lampyridae.